Long non-coding RNA from Zonotrichia leucophrys gambelii, 764 nucleotides. RefSeq lists it as uncharacterized. The record is from RefSeq and is a predicted model, not a curated record. The transcript is spliced from 2 exons. Lineage: Eukaryota; Metazoa; Chordata; Aves; Passeriformes; Passerellidae.
CCGCCACUGAGCGGGCUGAGAUUGGCGGGACCGCUUCCGGAUUGACAGGGCGGCUGUGAUUGGACAGGGCGGGCUGAGAAAGGCGGGCCGUGAUUGGCAGGUUUGGGAGCCGUCAGGCUGAGGCCCCUGGGAGCGUGGGGCGGAGCUCGGGCUGCCCGAAGGGCUCGCAGGCGCCGGGGGUCCCGCUCGCGAAACCCCCGUCCCCUUCUCCGGCCCUCUCUCGUGCCCAGGUCCCGGCGAAAAGACCCCCGCAGAGCCCCUACCGGAGCGCCCCAUCGGCACUCGGGGCAGGGGGCGGAGAGGAGUGUAGCCCGGGAGGGGUUCCGAGUCGUCUUUGCGACAGCAGGGCGGACCAGGGAGCGGCGGCGAUUUGACUGCCCCUACCAAGUGAUAAGAUAAUAGUGACAAAAAGAGCUUAAGCAUCCAGGAAGCAUCUUUCGACUCUUAUCGGUGUUAUCAGGGAGUGUGAAGCAACAGGAUAAAACUACAGGAAGAAAUAAAAUAUGUAGACCUAAUUUACAGAAUGUUCUGCAGACAAGUCAGAGGUUAAAACCAAACAAGAGAGUUCCUGGAACAUCAAAAAGUCAAAGGAAUGUUUGAAUAAUGUGUAAGUUAAUGAAUAUGCAUGUAACCUCAGCAAUGUAACAGUAUAUAGUGAACAUGAUUUUAAGCUACCUCUGUGCUCUUUGGCUGUGUGCUAAAAGCAUCCCAGUGCUGGAUUAUUUUGUCCUUUUAUCCUUUAUUAAACUUUCAAAAAUUUUAAA